UACGGGAGGCAGCAGUGGGGAAUAUUGCACAAUGGGUGCAAGCCUGAUGCAGCCAUGCCGCGUGUAUGAAGAAGGCCUUCGGGUUGUAAAGUACUUUCAGUCGUGAGGAAGGUGUUAAGGUUAAUAACCUUAGCAAUUGACGUUAGCGACAGAAGAAGCACCGGCUAACUCCGUGCCAGCAGCCGCGGUAAUACGGAGGGUGCGAGCGUUAAUCGGAAUUACUGGGCGUAAAGGGCACGCAGGCGGUUAAUAAGUUGGAUGUGAAGUCCCCGGGCUUAACCUGGGAAUGGCAUUCAAGACUGGUUAGCUAGAGUCUUGUAGAGGGGGUAGAAUUCCAUGUGUAGCGGUGAAAUGCGUAGAGAUGUGGAGGAAUACCGGUGGCGAAGGCGGCCCCUGGGACAAAGACUGACGCUCAUGUGCGAAAGCGUGGGGAGCAAACAGGGAUUAGAUACC
This 453-nucleotide ribosomal RNA is filed under the name uncultured bacterium. Its description in RNAcentral is "bacterial SSU rRNA". It matches the Rfam family "Bacterial small subunit ribosomal RNA", at positions 340 to 786 of the family's 1533-position model. The record is from RNAcentral.